Molecule: long non-coding RNA, 632 nt
Organism: Rattus norvegicus (Norway rat)
Lineage: Eukaryota; Metazoa; Chordata; Mammalia; Rodentia; Muridae
Source: RefSeq, a predicted model, not a curated record
GAAACAGGAAACGGGCAGAGAGAAGAGCCGCUGGUGGGAAGAGGAAAGGCAAACAAAAUGGACCAAAUGAAAGAAGCCAAUGAACAAGACAGGAGCCACGUGACUAAAAACCAAACAUAAGAAUUGAAUAUAGCCAAGAGAUCUCUGUUCCAGGGGAUGUCAAUCCAAGCAGAAAAAGAUACAACAAAUACCUCAACAGCCUCAACAGUUACAACCAGGACCGAUCGCGAUGAAGAUGUACAAACAGCUGCCGACGCGGUCCAGGAGAUUUACUUCAUGACACCAGAGGAUCCAAGACAGAAGAGGGCCGCAUAAGUCACGAUGAGCCUCAUCCUUAUUAGGAUUAAAAAAUGAAGGCUGGAGACAUUCAACAAGACCUGCCUCAGUUCAGGCUAAUUCUGAGUCAUUGGAGUCCAUGUUCUUCUGAAUUCCAGAGUCUGUUCCCUGAGCCAGCAUUUCCUACCUCACCCAGGCGUUUCUCCAGAGUGAGCAUGAGAGAGACAUUUUCAUUUGCAGUGCAUCCUUCUCGAGACAAAUUCGGUGUUUUCUGGUGGUGAUUGGGGGCAAACUCCCAAGCAUUUGAAGUUCUCUCCAUUACGAGAGGGCUCUGGGAGAUGCCACUGGGGUCUGUA